Molecule: ribosomal RNA, 253 nt
Filed under: uncultured bacterium
Lineage: Bacteria
Description: partial 16S ribosomal RNA
Rfam family: Bacterial small subunit ribosomal RNA
Source: RNAcentral
UACGGGGGGAGCAAGCGUUGUUCGGAAUUACUGGGCGUAAAGGGCGCGUAGGCGGUAGAGUAAGUCGAAUGUGAAAUACCUUGGCUUAACCAAGGAAGUGCAUUCGAUACUGCUCAACUUGAGUCCCAAAGAGGGCAAUGGAAUUCCCAGUGUAGAGGUGAAAUUCGUAGAUAUUGGGAGGAACAUCAGUGGCGAAGGCGAUUGCCUGGUUGGAGACUGACGCUGAGGCGCGAAAGCGUGGGGAGCAAACAGG